Molecule: ribosomal RNA, 248 nt
Filed under: uncultured euryarchaeote
Lineage: Archaea; Methanobacteriati; Methanobacteriota
Description: partial 16S ribosomal RNA
Rfam family: Archaeal small subunit ribosomal RNA
Source: RNAcentral
GGCGGCCCGAGUGGUGAUCGUGAUUAUUGGGUCUAAAGGGUCCGUAGCCGGUUUGGUCAGUCCUCCGGGAAAUCUGACAGCUCAACUGUUAGGCUUUCGGGGGAUACUGCCAGACUUGGAACCGGGAGAGGUAAGAGGUACUACAGGGGUAGGAGUGAAAUCUUGUAAUCCCUGUGGGACCACCUGUGGCGAAGGCGUCUUACCAGAACGGGUUCGACGGUGAGGGACGAAAGCUGGGGGCACGAACC